This 256-nucleotide ribosomal RNA is filed under the name uncultured bacterium. RNAcentral describes it as "partial 16S ribosomal RNA". It matches the Rfam family "Bacterial small subunit ribosomal RNA", at positions 524 to 776 of the family's 1533-position model. The record is from RNAcentral.
UACGUAGGGGCCUAGCGUUGUCCGGAUUUAUUGGGCGUAAAGAGCUCGUAGGCGGUUCGGCAAGUCAGCUGUGAAAUCUCCACGCUUAACGUGGAGGGGUCAGCUGAUACUGCCGUGACUCGAGUCCGGUAGGGGAGUGUGGAAUUCCCGGUGUAGCGGUGAAAUGCGCAGAUAUCAGGAAGAACACCCGUGGCGAAGGCGGCUCUCUGGGACGGUACUGACGCUGAGACGCGAAAAGCGUGGGGGAGCGAACAGG